UAAGAAAUAAGCCAUCAUUUAAGCCAUCAUAAAAAUGAAUUCAUAUAUAUAUUUAAUAAUCUAGGUUAGAAUAUAACAUCACUGACCAAGAGACAGAUGAAUAAGACCUGUUUGGGCAGAGAGUUGUCAAAAACACUGAUAACAACUGGAGUCUCUUAGAUCAAAAGGGUUGUUUAGUAUAAACAACAGAUUCUGGGGAAAUAGCCAGAAGCAUCAGAGUAACCAGGUUAAACAGUUUGCCCUGAGGCAAUGGAGAUGUGACGUAACUAUGAUAUCAUCAUAAUGUGUAAACGAAGGCUGACUAUAUAUAAUGCAAAGAGCUGGUCAUAAAAUAUGGUAUGAGAUCGAGCGAUUAUGGAUCAAAAGCCUUCCGUUGCAUAUUGUGCGGGAAACAUUUGUUACUAAAACAAGAAACUUGGAUCCACUCAGGUUUCUGUUUCACCUGUUUAACCAGAUGUUUUAUGGGGGAUGAGGCUCUAAACAGUAUAAAAAGGGAGACCAAAAUGCAGUCUGGAGUUCUGUUUUGGGGAACAGGCCUCUGUGUACAGGGUCUACCUCUAAACAGGAACUCUGCAGGCCGAGAGACUGAAUUACUGUCCCAGGAUUGGGUAGAAAAAUACAG
Xenopus tropicalis (tropical clawed frog) is the source of this 622-nucleotide long non-coding RNA. RefSeq lists it as uncharacterized. The transcript has 3 exons. Lineage: Eukaryota; Metazoa; Chordata; Amphibia; Anura; Pipidae. The record is from RefSeq and is a predicted model, not a curated record.